AGAUAGAAAGUUACUUCGGUACAUCGGUGACAGGUGGUGCAUUGGUUGUCGUCAGCUCGUGUCGUGAGAUGUUGGGUUAAGUCCCGCAACGAGCGCAACCCCUAUUGUUAGUUGCCAUCAUUCAGUUGGGCACUCUAGCGAGACUGCCGGUAAUAAACCGGAGGAAGGUGGGAUGACGUCAAAUCAUCAUGCCCCUUAUGACCUGGGCUACACACGUGCUACAAUGGUUGGUACAACGAGUUGCGAGUCGGUGACGGCGAGCUAAUCUCUUAAAGCCAAUCUCAGUUCGGAUUGUAGGCUGCAACUCGCCUACAUGAAGUCGGAAUCGCUAGUAAUCGCGGAUCAGCACGCCGCGGUGAAUACGUUCCCGGGCCUU
Molecule: ribosomal RNA, 376 nt
Filed under: uncultured Streptococcus sp.
Lineage: Bacteria; Bacillati; Bacillota; Bacilli; Lactobacillales; Streptococcaceae
Description: bacterial SSU rRNA
Rfam family: Bacterial small subunit ribosomal RNA
Source: RNAcentral